AAACUCUGGAGACAGAGGCUUUGAAGGAAGCAGUAUUUAAAGCUGUGGGUAGUUACCAGCUGCCUUCACUAAAUGGAGUCCUUUUCUCACAUGUGGUGAAUGGAAGAAGUGACUGAGAUUUGCAUUUUUGGCUGGCGCUGGCUAAGAGGCAAGAAGCAGCACAGCAACUCAAACAGAAACAGCARGUCUGCGGCUCCGAGCACGGGGGAGGAAGGGGAAGCAGCGAGCACAUCGGCGAGGGGAAGGAUGUAACUAUGUGUCRCAGGGUGACUUUGUCUAGCAGGACCUACCUCCCAAGCCAAGCCCCACCAGUGGGCUGGAAAAGGCCUGGAAAAAACCCAGAGACUUCCAAAACAAACAAGAAAAGAGGCUCACUUGAUCAGUCUGAGUGCCAGCCCCACCCUGGGGUGUGGAAUAAACACAGGUGUACCUACCAUCAGUGGGAUGACAUGAAUUUGUGUUUCCCAACUAGGAAACCUACGCGGUCCCAGAGACAAGCCACUGUAGGAUAUGUUGCUUCUAACCAGCCAUAACACGUGUACACCACCUGUUACAUAACAGGACAAGGGAGUACCUUCUUCCUCUUUUUUCCUGAAGCCGUCAGAAGAGCAGCCAGGCAAGCCUAGGAGGUCAAGGUUGUUUUUCAAUCAAAUGCAGCAGGUUCUGCAUAAGAAACAACAUGUUCUAUCAGAUAAGAAGGGGUAUGAUGGCGCAUGCCCUGAAACCUCAUCACAGCACAGGCUGUCACGAGUUCCCGUCCCUCUCAUGGGAAGGGUGGCAGAUGGCAGCUUAUGUAAUUGGGAGACACACCUCUGAAGCUAUAAACGUAAUUGCAUCUCAGGGAAUUACUGAGAUCAGUGAAAGAAGGCCAUCAGAAGGUCUGUGAGAGUACCAAACUCUCAAAAUAGACUGAAAACCUAGUGAUGGAGAGGUCAUUACACACAGCUGCCAUCCAGAAACAAGGCUCUUCUGUCGUCUGUGGCUUGCUGCCAUAGUCAUACUCUGUUAGACCCACUAACCAUCAUCUACAGUGUGUGAUCCCACUUCUGGCCAGGGUUUGUCUGAACUUAGCAUAACUCAGCUCCUGCUCUGCACUGAGCCCAAAAUGGCCCAAGUUUUUUAGGUGGGGAGCGGGGAAAAGAAGGUUCUCCUCAUUUCCUUCCCGGCUGGUUUUGCUGUAGGAGGGGAGCACAGGAAGGCUUUGUGGACAGCCCUGCAAGGUGGGUAUGGGUUGGCCAAUGUUCCUUGGUAGGCUCCAAGGUCUUCAGCGCCACCUACUGCUAUGCGAACUCUUGGCUCCCUUGUCAUCCCUCCAGGAAAGGGCUUAGAGGAUACUUUCAGUCUCAUAGGAUGAGGAUAAUUAGCAGCAAGAGCUAUUGUCUUGCUGCUCCUAUGGGCUGAGUACAAAGAAAAGAAUACAUUAGAGCCUGGAAAUGUCAAUCUGGCUCCAUUUUCAUCACAAAUUCAUAUAAAGGGCCAGAAAAAGCAAAUACUUGAGGAUUGUUGUCUGGCAAUGAACAAAAGCCAGACAAA
This 1533-nucleotide long non-coding RNA is filed under the name Apteryx owenii (little spotted kiwi). RNAcentral's name for it is "lncRNA (ENSAOWG00000003522.1)". The record is from RNAcentral. Lineage: Eukaryota; Metazoa; Chordata; Aves; Apterygiformes; Apterygidae.